GAUGAACGCUGGCGGCGUGCCUAAUACAUGCAAGUCGAGCGAACAGACGAGGAGCUUGCUCCUCUGACGUUAGCGGCGGACGGGUGAGUAACACGUGGAUAACCUACCUAUAAGACUGGGAUAACUUCGGGAAACCGGAGCUAAUACCGGAUAAUAUAUUGAACCGCGUGGGUCAAUAGUGAAAGACGGUUUUGCUGUCACGUAUAGAUGGAUCCGCGCCGCAUUAGCGGGUUGGUAAGGUAACGGCUUACCAAGGCGACGAUGCGUAGCCGACCUGAGAGGGUGAUCGGCCACACUGGAACUGAGACACGGCCCAGAGUCCUACGGGAGGCAGCAGUAGGGAAUCUUCCGCAAUGGGCGAAAGCCUGACGGAGCAACGCCGCGUGAGUGAUGAAGGUCUUCGGAUCGUAAAACUCUGUUAUUAGGGAAGAACAAAUGUGUAAGUAACGAUGCACGUCUUGACGGUACCGAUUCAGAAAGCCACGGCUAACUACGU
RNAcentral lists this ribosomal RNA (496 nucleotides) under uncultured bacterium. Its description in RNAcentral is "partial 16S ribosomal RNA". It matches the Rfam family "Bacterial small subunit ribosomal RNA", at positions 28 to 506 of the family's 1533-position model. The record is from RNAcentral.